UACAGAGGGUGCAAGCGUUGUUCGGAAUCAUUGGGCGUAAAGCGCGGGCAGGCGGUUGGACAAGUGGGAUGUGAAAGCGCUCGGCUAAACCGGGCGAGGCCAUUCCAAACUGUCUGACUGGAGGGCAGUAGAGGUGGGUAGAAUUCCGGGUGGAGUGGUGAAAUGCGUAGAUAUCUGGAGGAACACCGGUGGCGAAGGCGGCAUCCUGGACCGAGAUUGACGCUGAGGCGCGAAAGCCAGGGGAGCAAACGGG
Molecule: ribosomal RNA, 253 nt
Filed under: uncultured bacterium
Lineage: Bacteria
Description: partial 16S ribosomal RNA
Rfam family: Bacterial small subunit ribosomal RNA
Source: RNAcentral